AGUGAACGCUGGCGGUAGGCCUAACACAUGCAAGUCGAACGGCAGCACAGUAAGAGCUUGCUCUUACGGGUGGCGAGUGGCGGACGGGUGAGGAAUACAUCGGAAUCUACUUUUUCGUGGGGGAUAACGUAGGGAAACUUACGCUAAUACCGCAUACGACCUACGGGUGAAAGCAGGGGAUCUUCGGACCUUGCGCGAUUGAAUGAGCCGAUGUCGGAUUAGCUAGUUGGCGGGGUAAAGGCCCACCAAGGCGACGAUCCGUAGCUGGUCUGAGAGGAUGAUCAGCCACACGGGAAGUGAGACACGGUCCAGACUCCUACGGGAGGCAGCAGUGGGGAAUAUUGGACAAUGGGCGCAAGCCUGAUCCAGCCAUACCGCGUGGGUGAAGAAGGCCUUCGGGUUGUAAAGCCCUUUUGUUGGGAAAGAAAAGCAGCAGGUUAAUACCCCGCUGUUCUGACGGUACCCAAAGAAUAAGCACCGGCUAACUUCGUG
This 492-nucleotide ribosomal RNA is filed under the name uncultured bacterium. RNAcentral's name for it is "partial 16S ribosomal RNA". It matches the Rfam family "Bacterial small subunit ribosomal RNA", at positions 29 to 507 of the family's 1533-position model. The record is from RNAcentral.